UAUGUCAAAUAUCUCUUGACAAUCUCCUGUGAUCUUGGAAGCUAAGCCGGGUUGGACCUGGUUUGUACCUGGAUGAAAGACCACGUGGAAAUAUCUCAGAGGANGAUAUUU
RNAcentral lists this ribosomal RNA (111 nucleotides) under Salvator merianae (Argentine black and white tegu). The record is from RNAcentral. Lineage: Eukaryota; Metazoa; Chordata; Lepidosauria; Squamata; Teiidae.